GUUAUAUGGUCAAGUGACUAAGCGCAUACGGUGGAUGCCUUGGCAGUCAGAGGCGAUGAAGGACGUUGUAGCUUGCGAUAAGCUUCGGGGAGGUAGCAAACAACCUUUGAUCCGGAGAUUUCCGAAUGGGGCAACCCAUCCAGCUUGCUGGAUAUCCUGCACUGAAUCCAUAGGUGUAGGAGGCGAACGUGGGGAACUGAAACAUCUAAGUACCCAUAGGAACAGAAAUCAAUUGAGAUUCCGUCAGUAGCGGCGAGCGAAAGCGGAUUAGCCCUUAAGUCUAUUUAGUGUUAGUGGAACACUCUGGAAAGUGUGGCCAUAGUGGGUGAUAGCCCCGUACACGAAAGUGCUUUAUAGAUGAAAACGAGUAGGUCGGGACACGUGUUAUCCUGAUUGAAGAUGGGGGGACCAUCCUCCAAGGCUAAAUACUCCUGACUGACCGAUAGUGAACCAGUACCGUGAGGGAAAGGCGAAAAGAACCCCGGAGAGGGGAGUGAAAUAGAACCUGAAACCGUAUGCGUACAAGCAGUGGGAGCCCUUCGGGGUGACUGCGUACCUUUUGUAUAAUGGGUCAGCGACUUACAUUUAGUAGCAAGGUUAACCGUUUAGGGGAGCCGUAGGGAAACCGAGUCUUAAUAGGGCGUCUUAGUUGCUAGGUGUAGACCCGAAACCCGGCGAUCUACCCAUGGGCAGGUUGAAGGUGCCGUAACAGGCACUGGAGGACCGAACCGGGAUCUGUUGAAAAAGAUUCGGAUGACUUGUGGGUCGGAGUGAAAGGCUAAUCAAGCCGGGAGAUAGCUGGUUCUCCUCGAAAGCUAUUUAGGUAGCGCCUCGGAUUAAUACCUACGGGGGUAGAGCACUGUUUGGGCUAGGGGGUCAUCCCGACUUACCAACCCCAUGCAAACUCCGAAUACCGUAGAGUACUGUCCGGGAGACACACGGCGGGUGCUAACGUUCGUCGUGGAAAGGGAAACAACCCAGACCGCCAGCUAAGGUCCCCAAGUACUAGUUAAGUGGGAAACGAUGUGGGAAGGCAUAGACAGCUAGGAGGUUGGCUUAGAAGCAGCCAUCCUUUAAAGAAAGCGUAAUAGCUCACUAGUCGAGUCGGCCUGCGCGGAAGAUGUAACGGGGCUUAAACUAGUCACCGAAGCUGCGGGUGCAGAUUUAUCUGCGCGGUAGAGGAGCGUUCUGUAAGCCGUUGAAGGUGAAUCGAAAGGUUUGCUGGAGGUAUCAGAAGUGCGAAUGCUGACAUGAGUAACGAUAAGGGGAGUGAAAAACUCCCCCGCCGAAAGACCAAGGGUUCCUGUCCAACGCUAAUCGGGGCAGGGUGAGUCGACCCCUAAGGCGAGGCUGAGAAGCGUAGUCGAUGGGAAACGGGUUAAUAUUCCCGUACUUGCAAUAACUGCGAUGGAGAGACGGAGAAGGCUAGGCGUACCGGGCGUUGGUUGUCCCGGGGAAAGUGCGUAGGCUGAGGUGUUAGGCAAAUCCGGCACCUUAAGGCUGAGACACGAGACCACUGCCCAUGUGGCGGGAAGUCGUCGAUGCCCUGCUUCCAGGAAAUACCUUCUAAGCUUCAGGUUAUUGCGAAUCGUACCCCAAACCGACACAGGUGGUCGGGUAGAGAAUACCAAGGCGCUUGAGAGAACUCGGGUGAAGGAACUAGGCAAAAUGGUGCCGUAACUUCGGGAGAAGGCACGCUGCUGUUGGUGAAGGACUUGCUCCGUAAGCUGACGGCAGUCGCAGAUACUAGGUCCCUGCAACUGUUUAUUAAAAACACAGCACUCUGCAAACACGAAAGUGGACGUAUAGGGUGUGACGCCUGCCCGGUGCCGGAAGGUUAAUUGAUGGGGUUAUCUUCGGAGAAGCUCUUGAUCGAAGCCCCGGUAAACGGCGGCCGUAACUAUAACGGUCCUAAGGUAGCGAAAUUCCUUGUCGGGUAAGUUCCGACCUGCACGAAUGGCGUAAUGAUGGGGACGCUGUCUCCACCCGAGACUCAGUGAAAUUGAAAUCGCUGUGAAGAUGCAGUGUACCCGCGGCUAGACGGAAAGACCCCGUGAACCUUUACUAUAGCUUCACACUGGACUCUGACCUUACUUGUGUAGGAUAGCUGGGAGACUUUGAAGCGGUGACGCCAGUCAUCGUGGAGUCAACCUUGAAAUACCAGCCUGGUAAUGUUGGGGUUCUAACUUAGAUCCAUUAUCUGGAUUGAGGACAGUGUGUGGUGGGUAGUUUGACUGGGGCGGUCUCCUCCCAAAGAGUAACGGAGGAGUGCGAAGGUGCCCUCAGCGCGGUCGGACAUCGCGCAAUGAGUAUAAUGGCAAAAGGGCGCUUGACUGUGAGACCUACAAGUCGAGCAGGUGCGAAAGCAGGUCAUAGUGAUCCGGUGGUUCUGUAUGGAAGGGCCAUCGCUCAACGGAUAAAAGGUACUCCGGGGAUAACAGGCUGAUACCGCCCAAGAGUUCAUAUCGACGGCGGUGUUUGGCACCUCGAUGUCGGCUCAUCACAUCCUGGGGCUGAAGCCGGUCCCAAGGGUAUGGCUGUUCGCCAUUUAAAGUGGUACGCGAGCUGGGUUUAGAACGUCGUGAGACAGUUCGGUCCCUAUCUGCCGUGGGCGUUGGAGAUUUGAGGAGAGUUGUUCCUAGUACGAGAGGACCGGAAUGAACGAACCUCUGGUGUUCGGGUUGUCACGCCAGUGGCAUUGCCCGGUAGCUAUGUUCGGACAGGAUAACCGCUGAAAGCAUCUAAGCGGGAAGCCCCCUUCAAGAUGAGAUCUCCCUGAGGACUUGAUCCUCCUAAAGGACCGUCGAAGACUACGACGUUGAUAGGCUGGGUGUGGAAGCGUUGUGAGGCGUUAAGCUAACCAGUACUAAUUGUCCGUGAGGCUUGACCAUAUAACCCUA
Molecule: ribosomal RNA, 2900 nt
Filed under: Ketobacter sp. GenoA1
Lineage: Bacteria; Pseudomonadati; Pseudomonadota; Gammaproteobacteria; Pseudomonadales; Ketobacteraceae
Description: bacterial LSU rRNA
Rfam family: Bacterial large subunit ribosomal RNA
Source: RNAcentral